Molecule: ribosomal RNA, 253 nt
Filed under: uncultured bacterium
Lineage: Bacteria
Description: partial 16S ribosomal RNA
Rfam family: Bacterial small subunit ribosomal RNA
Source: RNAcentral
UACGGGGGGGGCAAGCGUUGUUCGGAAUUACUGGGCGUAAAGGGCUCGUAGGCGGCCAACUAAGUCAGACGUGAAAUCCCUCGGCUUAACCGGGGAACUGCGUCUGAUACUGGAUGGCUUGAGUUUGGGAGAGGGAUGCGGAAUUCCAGGUGUAGCGGUGAAAUGCGUAGAUAUCUGGAGGAACACCGGUGGCGAAGGCGGCGUCCUGGACCAACACUGACACUGAUGAGCGAAAGCCAGGGGAGCAAACGGG